GUCUUUUCCCAUGGUAGUGGUGCAGGGGGGAGCCCUUCUUGCAGCCAGUGGGAGAGACAGAACAAAAAACAGAGGAAAGUCGUCAUGGCUGCCAGGAGCUUGUGGCUGCCAUGUUUUCCAGCCUCUUACACUU
RNAcentral lists this small nucleolar RNA (133 nucleotides) under Podiceps cristatus (great crested grebe). The record is from RNAcentral. Lineage: Eukaryota; Metazoa; Chordata; Aves; Podicipediformes; Podicipedidae.